CUGGAAGAGUUAGAGAUAACUGCACGACCCAUGAUGGUUCUGCAUGAUCAACAUGAGACAUCUGAAAUGUUUACUCCAAAAAUCUGGAGCCACCAGGGGCCAGUGUCUCUCUGAACAGCAGCAUGAUUAGAGCGGAAGUGGCGGUGUUCUUUCUAAAGGCGGGAUCAGGAAGCAGCGCUGUGGGAGUUAUUUUGGGCGCAUUGAACAUUGACUCUGAACAGCACGGCGUUUGCGGAUGAGGAUUGAAAUUUCUCCAUGAUAGUGUCCAGGAAGUCAACUUGAAAUCCCGCAACGCUCUCUAAUACAAAU
Molecule: long non-coding RNA, 309 nt
Organism: Sinocyclocheilus rhinocerous
Lineage: Eukaryota; Metazoa; Chordata; Actinopteri; Cypriniformes; Cyprinidae
Exons: 3
Source: RefSeq, a predicted model, not a curated record